AGUAACGCGUGAGAAUCUGGCUUCAGGUCUGGGACAACCACUGGAAACGGUGGCUAAUACCGGAUGUGCCGAAAGGUGAAAGAUUAAUUGCCUGAAGAUGAGCUCGCGUCUGAUUAGCUAGUUGGAAGUGUAAUGGACUCCCAAGGCGACGAUCAGUAGCUGGUCUGAGAGGACGAUCAGCCACACUGGGACUGAGACACGGCCCAG
Molecule: ribosomal RNA, 207 nt
Filed under: uncultured bacterium
Lineage: Bacteria
Description: partial 16S ribosomal RNA
Rfam family: Bacterial small subunit ribosomal RNA
Source: RNAcentral